AAAAGACAGUACAUCGAGAAAAAAAUACCACUAGUUUAUCGUCCCGCUAUUAAAAUACUAAAACACAAUACGACUAUUUUUGGUUUCGACAUGUAUCAGCAAAUUAGAGGCGAUCUAAAAAGGAAUGUCGGCAUGUUUGGACAGGCUGACCAACUGCCUAGCGUCACAGAAGGGAUCGGUGCUGCCUACCAGGCUGAGUGGGCAUGAGGGUUGCUUGUAGUGUCAACGAAGGACGGAACAGAUAUUCUUUUCUAUAUUUCAUAUUUAUAUAUUUGUUGUUUCGUUUUUUUGUUAUAAGUUAUUUUCUUAAUAAAGCAAGUUGGUUUGUGUUUGAUCAUUCA
This is a long non-coding RNA of Daktulosphaira vitifoliae (grape phylloxera), 341 nucleotides long. RefSeq lists it as uncharacterized. The transcript is spliced from 2 exons. The record is from RefSeq and is a predicted model, not a curated record. Lineage: Eukaryota; Metazoa; Arthropoda; Insecta; Hemiptera; Phylloxeridae.